AUUGAACGCUGGCGGAAUGCUUUACACAUGCAAGUCGAACGGUAGAGGGGGCAACCCCUUGAGAGUGGCGAACGGGUGAGUAAUAUAUCGGAACGUGCCCAGUCGUGGGGAUAACGUAGCGAAAGCUACGCUAAUACCGCAUACGAUCUACGGAUGAAAGCGGGGGAUCGCAAGACCUCGCGCGAUUGGAGCGGCCGAUAUCAGAUUAGGUAGUUGGUGAGGUAAAGGCUCACCAAGCCGACGAUCUGUAGCUGGUCUGAGAGGACGACCAGCCACACUGGGACUGAGACACGGCCCAGACUCCUACGGGAGGCAGCAGUGGGGAAUAUUGGACAAUGGGCGCAAGCCUGAUCCAGCCAU
Molecule: ribosomal RNA, 360 nt
Filed under: uncultured bacterium
Lineage: Bacteria
Description: bacterial SSU rRNA
Rfam family: Bacterial small subunit ribosomal RNA
Source: RNAcentral